Molecule: ribosomal RNA, 301 nt
Filed under: uncultured bacterium
Lineage: Bacteria
Description: partial 16S ribosomal RNA
Rfam family: Bacterial small subunit ribosomal RNA
Source: RNAcentral
CAGUAGCCGCGGGAAUACGGAGGGUGCAAGCGUUAUCCGGAUUUAUUGGGUUUAAAGGGUCCGUAGGCGGACUUAUAAGUCAGUGGUGAAAGCCUGUCGCUUAACGAUAGAACUGCCAUUGAUACUGUAAGUCUUGAGUAUAUUUGAGGUAGCUGGAAUAAGUAGUGUAGCGGUGAAAUGCAUAGAUAUUACUUAGAACACCAAUUGCGAAGGCAGGUUACCAAGAUAUAACUGACGCUGAGGGACGAAAGCGUGGGUAGCGAACAGGAUUAGAUACCCGAGUAGUCCCUGUCUCUUAUAC